Molecule: small nuclear RNA, 284 nt
Filed under: Colobus angolensis palliatus
Lineage: Eukaryota; Metazoa; Chordata; Mammalia; Primates; Cercopithecidae
Description: 7SK RNA (ENSCANG00000014277.1)
Rfam family: 7SK RNA
About the family: 7SK was discovered as an abundant small nuclear RNA in the mid-70s but a possible function has only recently been suggested. Two independent studies have found that 7SK RNA binds the CDK9/cyclin T complex (known as elongation factor P-TEFb).
Source: RNAcentral
AGGUGUUGUGCCAUCUGGCACUGACAUCUGCCACCACAUUGACCCCAGGUUAUUUUGGCUGCUUUGUCUGGCAAGGAGGGCACCUACAUCUUGCUUCACAACUCCAUGCUGGGCGUUCCAUGUCUGCAGUUUCUGUGAAGAUGUCAAUCUUCCCCCAUAGAGGAGUAUGUUUUAAAAUUAAGAUUAUAGGAAAAAGAGGGUAGUUUUCUAGAACUUGUAAGUAUGAUAUCGAGUCCAUAAAACGUUUGUUGAUUUUCACUUAUUUCUAGAAAAUUAAGUAUAAA